Molecule: ribosomal RNA, 155 nt
Filed under: uncultured bacterium
Lineage: Bacteria
Description: partial 16S ribosomal RNA
Rfam family: Bacterial small subunit ribosomal RNA
Source: RNAcentral
UGGGGAAUAUUGGUCAAUGGGCGCAAGCCUGAACCAGCCAUCCCGCGUGAAGGAAGAAGGCGCUAUGCGUUGUAAACUUCUUUUUCAGGGGAAGAAAAUUUUCUACGAGUAGAGAAUUGACGGUACCCUGUGAAUAAGCAUCGGCUAACUCCGUG